CCUGCGGAUGGAUCACUGUCGG
Molecule: ribosomal RNA, 22 nt
Filed under: Echinodorus subalatus
Lineage: Eukaryota; Viridiplantae; Streptophyta; Magnoliopsida; Alismatales; Alismataceae
Description: partial 18S ribosomal RNA
Source: RNAcentral